GAAAUAUCUGUGAAGGAACCAGUAAAUUACGAAAAAACGUACAGAAAAAAUUGCCUUGGCUGAAAGCAAUUUCGUGAAAAGUAAUUGAAAGACAGUCUGGAGAUGAGCGCGUGCAAAGCCGCUCCGUUACGCAAGCGUUAAUUGCUAGAGAAAAAAGAGGAAACUCUUUUUAAAAAAUAGGUGGUACCGCGACAAUUUUCGCCCUUGUU
RNAcentral lists this non-coding RNA (209 nucleotides) under Enterococcus sp. Its description in RNAcentral is "T-box sequence". It matches the Rfam family "T-box leader". Rfam says of the family: Uncharged tRNA acts as the effector for transcription antitermination of genes in the T-box leader family. T-boxes are found upstream of many aminoacyl-tRNA synthetase genes and some amino acid biosynthetic genes usually in Gram-positive bacteria. Lineage: Bacteria; Bacillati; Bacillota; Bacilli; Lactobacillales; Enterococcaceae. The record is from RNAcentral.